Molecule: long non-coding RNA, 2426 nt
Filed under: Bemisia tabaci
Lineage: Eukaryota; Metazoa; Arthropoda; Insecta; Hemiptera; Aleyrodidae
Description: lncRNA ENSASIAIIG006449
Source: RNAcentral
UGUGACGCGCCUUCAACCAAGAGAGCGGCAAUGUGAGCAUCACCGGUGGUCGAAUAGUUAUCUCGUAGCGCCUUUUGUAAAUGAAGUCAAAUAUCGAUGGCUGCACGCAAAUAAAAGCAUAUUUAUCUCUAAUUGCAACGUUGCAGACUUCCGCUCAUGUUUUACUUUUAAUCAGUUUGUCUUAAAAGCUAUACUCAGUUUUUUUUUUUUUUUUUUUUUUUAAGUUUCUGCGAGGUUUUUUGAAUUAUUUAAAUGUAAUCACAGAAGAUUGUGAGGCGAUAUUUUGGUUCAUUCUUCUUUCUUCGUAUUAAAAAAAAAAAAAAAAAAAAAAAAAAAAAAUUAAACAUAGUCCGAUGCUCUGAAACAUUGCAAUUAAGAUACACCUUUUUCCUUAUCUUAUGAUAAAAAUGAGAAGAGAGUGAAGAGCAAUAACACGUAGUCUAGGAGAAGUCAAUACUCUUCUGUGCUUUUUGGCAGUUUUCUCGCGGCUUACGAAAAGUGUGGAAACAGCGACGGUAAAACUAAGGGAGGCUGCUACAAAAUUCAAAUUUGAAGCAUAACGAUCGCGAUUUUCUCUCUACCUCGGGAAAAUCAACAAUUCGAGGGCAUCUCACGAAAGCGGCGACCCUAGUUCGCCGAGAACCGGACGCCAUAAAAGGCGAAUGGACUUGAUGGAACAUGUUUUACUUUAAUUUUAACAUUUGCCGUGUGCGAGAUGCCGGGCGCUUUUUGCGUCCAUUUGGGCCGAGAUCGAGGGCGAGUUGGCCGAGUAAAACUGACCAAUUCGUGUUUGUGCUCACAGUGGGGCCCCCAAGUGAAGAACGAGCACCUGAUCUACGUGGCGGCAACAAAUGACCCUUGCAUUCUGACAGGCUGGUCAGCCAAUGAUGAGCAGUGGCAGUUAGUUGGGGAAAAUGAGACAUCCGAGCCCGCGACACCUAACAAUCUUUGCAAGUCAGCACUGAAGAGCUUUACAGGGAUUCAUUGGUCCGAGCAAGGUGACUGCGCUAAUCCAAUCGGAGCAAAGUGCAAGGACCAAAAGUGCGUCCUUACCGUGCCGAGUAAUAGUAAGCAUUGCUACGGCAGCAAAGCGUGUACCGUGCAUUUCAAGAAGUGUGCCAAGACAGUCCUCGACACACACAAGCAGUUCCUCGAGAAGGAGAAAAAGCGCCUGGAGGAAACCAAUGCCCCCAAGCUCACGGGCCCGUGCAACUGUCCGCACUGCCGGCAUUGCCCCUUGCGGAUCUACGGUUGUCCCUUCUGUCCUCAUUUUCCGAAGAAAGUCGACCCCCUGGAGAUGCAAGGGGAAGACAACUACCCAAAAUUGCGUGAGCAAAUGGAAAAACUGAAACUUCCGUGCGGAGUGCCGAAGCCAAUAAGCCAACUGCGGCGCCCAGCCUCUGAGCCUCCCUUGAACAACCAACCCGUGUAUCCCUAUUUUACGGGCGGUCCCGGUCCCGCUUCUCUGUCGAAAACGUACUCCACUCAAACGAGGGCCACCAACAGAGGAAAACAAAGUCUGCAAACCUCCUAUUCUGCGCCAGGGACUAAGUACAAUUAUGGGUCCAAUUAUGCGUCAUCGUCCACUCCUUCCAGUUAAUCAAAGUCGCCUUUAUUUUAAGGAUCAUCCUUAAAGGAUACGUGCAUGGAGCACAUUAAAGUUGAUAUGUCUGUGUGCUGGAGCGCCGAUGAAGUCACGUUUUAUAGUUGUUGCCGGGAAGCUUUUUCAAUCAAAAUUAGUCAAUUAAUCCGAAAUGAAGCGUCAUAAAUCGUCAAUUAUAAAAACCUGGACCAUAUUUGCAAGCAACUACAUAUAAUUGUAAAAUGUAUAGUAAUUGAAUAUUUGUUAAGUCUCACGAAUAUGUAUUUUAUUGUAUUUACGUUUAUCGACGGUGUAAGUCGGAAAUCACAUAACACUCUCUAUUCUCUAUACUCCUGCUGUGCUAAGGGAAAUACCCUUGUGAGGCCAUGAGCUAUUAGAAGUUGCCACAUUUCCUUUGAGUAAACCCGUAUUUUCAAGGAGAAUUUUGAAUAUUUUUCUUUUAAUCUUUCAGGGAGUUUCAUUCGAAGUUAAAUUUAAAGUAUCUGAAAAUUUCACAGGAAAACAUUACGAACUUGCCCACAAAAAAAUAAAUAUUUUAUCCGGGGACCUGUGGUAACGUUCGAAUAUGUUCCCACGUCGUUUUUCAGUAUAUCGGCCAGCACUGCUCGAUUAUGUGGAUGUAUUACUGCCAAACGGAACUAUGUACAUUAUAACUUGAGCCCUGUUAUGCAUACAUUCUUAUGGGUUUCGGGGCUCAUGCCUUAAUGCACAUAGUUCCGUUUGACAGAAGUACGUCCAUGUAACCGUACUCUCGGGUCAUUGCAACCGAGCUUUCAACCCAAACGGUAUACUAUAGAAAAAGCCCAUUUGCAUAAAUCGAGGA